UCUCAGCCACAUGAUUCAUUCAAAUUUUUUUAAUCUUAAGCGUUGGUUUUGAUUACCACGCGUGUGGCGCGCUGACUAGGUUCCAUCAUUGAACGCGUGUUUCUGAGGUGUGUUGGCACGUCUCUCAGCCACAUGAUUCAUUCAAAUUUUUUUAAUCUUAAGCGUUGGUUUUGAUUACCACGCGUGUGGCGCGCUGACUAGGUUCCAUCAUUGAACGCGUGUUUCUGUCCACUUGAUCUGCCACCUCAAUUAAUGAGGGAGAUCAAGUGGCUCACGUUUUU
RNAcentral lists this long non-coding RNA (281 nucleotides) under Lathyrus oleraceus (garden pea). Its description in RNAcentral is "Pisum sativum (pea) long non-coding RNA (PSAT_LNC038013)". The record is from RNAcentral. Lineage: Eukaryota; Viridiplantae; Streptophyta; Magnoliopsida; Fabales; Fabaceae.